Molecule: ribosomal RNA, 253 nt
Filed under: uncultured bacterium
Lineage: Bacteria
Description: partial 16S ribosomal RNA
Rfam family: Bacterial small subunit ribosomal RNA
Source: RNAcentral
UACGUAGGGGGCAAGCGUUGUCCGGAUUUAUUGGGCGUAAAGAGCGUGUAGGCGGCCAUGUAGGUCCGUUGUGAAAACUCGAGGCUCAACCUCGAGACGCCGAUGGAAACCAUGUGGCUAGAGUCCGGAAGAGGAGAGUGGAAUUCCUGGUGUAGCGGUGAAAUGCGCAGAUAUCAGGAAGAACACCCGUGGCGAAGGCGGCUCUCUGGGCAGAUACUGACACUGAGACGCGAAAGCGUGGGGAGCAAACAGG